Alosa sapidissima (American shad) is the source of this 130-nucleotide long non-coding RNA. RefSeq lists it as uncharacterized. Lineage: Eukaryota; Metazoa; Chordata; Actinopteri; Clupeiformes; Clupeidae. The transcript is spliced from 3 exons. The record is from RefSeq and is a predicted model, not a curated record.
GCCGCCCGAGUUAGAAACUGUAAAUUACCCAGCUUUCUUGCAGCAUUUUGGGCAGGCACGCCCACUUUACCUCGGAGUACUUGAGGGUACCCCGAGGUGGACAUACGACCUUACAACAAACAUGGCUUCG